RNAcentral lists this microRNA precursor (74 nucleotides) under Myotis brandtii (Brandt's bat). RNAcentral's name for it is "mir-9193 microRNA precursor family". It matches the Rfam family "mir-9193 microRNA precursor family". Lineage: Eukaryota; Metazoa; Chordata; Mammalia; Chiroptera; Vespertilionidae. The record is from Rfam by way of RNAcentral.
CGGGGGUUAGGGGAGUCCCUCAGCCCAGAUUGUGAGAGGGCACAGGCCAGGCCGAGGGACCCCACCGGUGCACA